UAGGGAAUCUUCGGCAAUUGACGAAAGUCUGACCGAGCAACGCCGCGUGAGUGAAGAAGGUUUUCGGAUCGUAAAACUCUGUUGUUAGAGAAGAACAAGGACGUUAGUAACUUAACGUCCCCUGACGGUAUCUAACUAGAAAGCCACGGCUAACUACGUGCCAGCAGCCGCGGUAAUACGUAGAUGGCUAGCGUCGUUCGGAUUUAUUGGGCGUAAAGCUCGCGCAGGCGGUUUCUUAAGUCGGAUGUGAAAGCCCCCGGCUCAACCGGGGAGGGUCAUUGGAAACUGUGAGACUUGAGUGCAGAAGAGGAGAGUGGAAUUCCAUGUGUAGCGGUGAAAUGCGUAGAUAUAUGGAGGAACACCAGUGGCGAAGGCGGCUCUCUGGUCUGUAACUGACGCUGAGGCUCGAAAGCGUGGCGAGCAAACAGG
RNAcentral lists this ribosomal RNA (429 nucleotides) under Gemmatimonadota bacterium. Its description in RNAcentral is "Gemmatimonadetes bacterium partial 16S ribosomal RNA". It matches the Rfam family "Bacterial small subunit ribosomal RNA", at positions 355 to 776 of the family's 1533-position model. The record is from RNAcentral. Lineage: Bacteria; Pseudomonadati; Gemmatimonadota.